RNAcentral lists this ribosomal RNA (518 nucleotides) under uncultured bacterium. RNAcentral describes it as "bacterial SSU rRNA". It matches the Rfam family "Bacterial small subunit ribosomal RNA", at positions 123 to 675 of the family's 1533-position model. The record is from RNAcentral.
AACGUACCCUUUGGUUCGGGACAACUCUGGGAAACUGGAGCUAAUACCGGAUACGCCCUUUUGGGGAAAGGUUUACUGCCGAAGGAUCGGCCCGCGUCUGAUUAGCUAGUUGGUGGGGUAACGGCCUACCAAGGCGACGAUCAGUAGCUGGUCUGAGAGGAUGAUCAGCCACACUGGGACUGAGACACGGCCCAGACUCCUACGGGAGGCAGCAGUGGGGAAUAUUGGACAAUGGGCGCAAGCCUGAUCCAGCCAUGCCGCGUGAGUGAUGAAGGCCUUAGGGUUGUAAAGCUCUUUUAUCCGGGACGAUAAUGACGGUACCGGAGGAAUAAGCCCCGGCUAACUUCGUGCCAGCAGCCGCGGUAAUACGAAGGGGGCUAGCGUUGCUCGGAAUCACUGGGCGUAAAGGGCGCGUAGGCGGCGUUUUAAGUCGGGGGUGAAAGCCUGUGGCUCAACCACAGAAUGGCCUUCGAUACUGGGACGCUUGAGUCUGGUAGAGGUUGGUGGAACUGCGAGUG